This 965-nucleotide ribosomal RNA is filed under the name Lactiplantibacillus plantarum. RNAcentral's name for it is "bacterial SSU rRNA". It matches the Rfam family "Bacterial small subunit ribosomal RNA", at positions 386 to 1345 of the family's 1533-position model. Lineage: Bacteria; Bacillati; Bacillota; Bacilli; Lactobacillales; Lactobacillaceae. The record is from RNAcentral.
AUGGAGCACGCCGCGUGAGUGAAGAAGGGUUUCGGCUCGUAAAACUCUGUUGUUAAAGAAGAACAUAUCUGAGAGUAACUGUUCAGGUAUUGACGGUAUUUAACCAGAAAGCCACGGCUAACUACGUGCCAGCAGCCGCGGUAAUACGUAGGUGGCAAGCGUUGUCCGGAUUUAUUGGGCGUAAAGCGAGCGCAGGCGGUUUUUUAAGUCUGAUGUGAAAGCCUUCGGCUCAACCGAAGAAGUGCAUCGGAAACUGGGAAACUUGAGUGCAGAAGAGGACAGUGGAACUCCAUGUGUAGCGGUGAAAUGCGUAGAUAUAUGGAAGAACACCAGUGGCGAAGGCGGCUGUCUGGUCUGUAACUGACGCUGAGGCUCGAAAGUAUGGGUAGCAAACAGGAUUAGAUACCCUGGUAGUCCAUACCGUAAACGAUGAAUGCUAAGUGUUGGAGGGUUUCCGCCCUUCAGUGCUGCAGCUAACGCAUUAAGCAUUCCGCCUGGGGAGUACGGCCGCAAGGCUGAAACUCAAAGGAAUUGACGGGGGCCCGCACAAGCGGUGGAGCAUGUGGUUUAAUUCGAAGCUACGCGAAGAACCUUACCAGGUCUUGACAUACUAUGCAAAUCUAAGAGAUUAGACGUUCCCUUCGGGGACAUGGAUACAGGUGGUGCAUGGUUGUCGUCAGCUCGUGUCGUGAGAUGUUGGGUUAAGUCCCGCAACGAGCGCAACCCUUAUUAUCAGUUGCCAGCAUUAAGUUGGGCACUCUGGUGAGACUGCCGGUGACAAACCGGAGGAAGGUGGGGAUGACGUCAAAUCAUCAUGCCCCUUAUGACCUGGGCUACACACGUGCUACAAUGGAUGGUACAACGAGUUGCGAACUCGCGAGAGUAAGCUAAUCUCUUAAAGCCAUUCUCAGUUCGGAUUGUAGGCUGCAACUCGCCUACAUGAAGUCGGAAUCGCUAGUAAUCGC